This 497-nucleotide ribosomal RNA is filed under the name uncultured bacterium. RNAcentral describes it as "partial 16S ribosomal RNA". It matches the Rfam family "Bacterial small subunit ribosomal RNA", at positions 28 to 507 of the family's 1533-position model. The record is from RNAcentral.
GAUGAACGCUGGCGGCGUGCCUAAUACAUGCAAGUCGAGCGAACAGACGAGGAGCUUGCUCCUCUGACGUUAGCGGCGGACGGGUGAGUAACACGUGGAUAACCUACCUAUAAGACUGGGAUAACUUCGGGAAACCGGAGCUAAUACCGGAUAAUAUAUUGAACCGCAUGGUUCAAUAGUGAAAGACGGUUUUGCUGUCACCUAUAGAUGGAUCCGCGCCGCAUUAGCUAGUUGGUAAGGUAACGGCUUACCAAGGCAACGAUGCGUAGCCGACCUGAGAGGGUGAUCGGCCACACUGGAACUGAGACACGGUCCAGACUCCUACGGGAGGCAGCAGUAGGGAAUCUUCCGCAAUGGGCGAAAGCCUGACGGAGCAACGCCGCGUGAGUGAUGAAGGUCUUCGGAUCUUAAAACUCUGUUAUUAGGGAAGAACAAAUGUGUAAGUAACUAUGCACGUCUUGACGGUACCUAAUCAGAAAGCCACGGCUAACUACGUG